UCCCGCCACCGAUGUGCCCGCCCCCAGUCUUCUCAGUGCCACCACUACUAUUGCCAGUGCCAGGUCAGGACAGCCUGGCUGGGUCUGUGAGAGAAAGCAGCAAGGAGGACCUGCUUCGUCGGGGUUAACUUCCAGCAUUCCAGUGAGCAGGCACAGCAGCAGCCAAAGCUAAUCUGCUUAUUCCACUAUCAUUACCUCCUGUGAAAUCCAGCAUCUCACAGAAGCAAAAAACACAAGGGCAGGCAGUCCUACAAGACAAGGGCAGGCAGUCCUAGAAGAGGAUCACAAGUCAUUCAUUUUGACGAUCUCAUUAUCACCUCCGAAAUACGUCUCACAGAAGCCUACAAGACGAG
Bufo bufo (common toad) is the source of this 353-nucleotide long non-coding RNA. RefSeq lists it as uncharacterized. The transcript has 3 exons. The record is from RefSeq and is a predicted model, not a curated record. NCBI's taxonomy places the organism in Eukaryota, Metazoa, Chordata, Amphibia, Anura, Bufonidae.